This 496-nucleotide ribosomal RNA is filed under the name uncultured bacterium. RNAcentral describes it as "partial 16S ribosomal RNA". It matches the Rfam family "Bacterial small subunit ribosomal RNA", at positions 28 to 506 of the family's 1533-position model. The record is from RNAcentral.
GAUGAACGCUGGCGGCGUGCCUAAUACAUGCAAGUCGAGCGAACAGACGAGGAGCUUGCUCCUCUGACGUUAGCGGCGGACGGGUGAGUAACACGUGGAUAACCUACCUAUAAGGCUGGGAUAACUUCGGGAAACCGGAGCUAAUACCGGAUAAUAUAUUGAACCGCAUGGUUCAACAGUGAAAGACGGUUUUGCUGUCACUUAUAGAUGGAUCCGCGCCGCAUUAGCUAGUUGGUAAGGUAACGGCUUACCAAGGCAACGAUGCGUAGCCGACCUGAGAGGGUGAUCGGCCACACUGGAACUGAGACACGGUCCAGACUCCUACGGGAGGCAGCAGUAGGGAAUCUUCCGCAAUGGGCGAAAGCCUGACGGAGCAACGCCGCGUGAGUGAUGAAGGUCUUCGGAUCGUAAAACUCUGUUAUUAGGGAAGAACAAAUGUGUAAGUAACUAUGCACGUCUUGACGGUACCUAAGCAGAAAGCCACGGCUAACUACGU